RNAcentral lists this ribosomal RNA (497 nucleotides) under uncultured bacterium. RNAcentral describes it as "partial 16S ribosomal RNA". It matches the Rfam family "Bacterial small subunit ribosomal RNA", at positions 28 to 507 of the family's 1533-position model. The record is from RNAcentral.
GAUGAACGCUGGCGGCGUGCUUAAUACAUGCAAGUCGAGCGAACGGACGAGAAGCUUGCUUCUCUGAUGUUAGCGGCGGACGGGUGUGUAACACGUGUAUAACCUACCUAUAAGACUGGGAUAAUUUCGGAAAACCGGAGCUAAUACGGGAUAAUCUUUUGAACCGCAUGGUUCAAAAGUGAAAUACGGUCUUUCUGUCACUUAUAGAUGGAUCUGCGCUGCAUUAGCUAGUUGGUAAGGUAACGGCCUACCACGGCGACGAUGCAUAGACGACCUGAGAGGGUGGUCGCCGACACUAGAAGUGGAACGCGGUCAAGGCUCCUGCGAGAGGGCGCAGUAGGCAAUCGUACGCAGUAGGCGGGAGCAUGGCGCAGCGGGGCGGCGUGAGUGGUAGCAGCCUCGCGUUCGUGAUAAUCUGUUAUGGGGGAAGAACAUAUGUGUAAGUUACUGUGGAGUUCUUGACGGUAACUAAUAAGAAAGCAACGGCUAACUACGUG